ACACUGCCUACUAGACAUUCCUUUUUAAUUCACAAAGGAACCAAAAUGUUUUACUUUUCCCUUAUACUGAAGUUCUGACUACAAACACAUUUAAAUAGAGAAAUAUAGGUGAGUAUCAGUUAUAAAAGGCCCAACUUAAACCAUUAAUAAAAAUAUAUCCCAACAACCACUCUUUCUAUUCUAGCAGCUCCACAAAACUGACACCAGAAAGGCAGGAUCACUGAAAUUUAGAGCUACUUAACAUAAACAAACACAAAGUCCACACUUGGGUUAGGAGAUGUGGCUAAUUUUAGAUGAGUGUUUUACACGGGAUGAAAUGGAGCCUUGGACUUCUCACUGGUUUAAUGCAGCCCUCGUACCUACAUUUAGCCAACACCACUUCAAAGUUUUCUCAACUAUGGAAAACAAGUGGUAAGGUAGCUGAAAGAAGGAAUUCAUUUCUGCACUGUUAAGUUCUCACAGGCAAACUGUUCAGUCUGUCCCAGCUCCUGGACUGCACAGGCCCAGACAGAAUCAUGAGCUGAUGCAGAGAAGAUUUCAGCAUUCGGGAAUAUCUGAAGAGUCAGGCUUUGCAGUGCUUCCACUGAUCAGCAUCUGAGGCAAGUAUUCAUUCAAGAGAGGCUGUGAAAAUCCUCCUGAGCGGGCGGCAGAAAUUGAGAGGGCUCUUGGUGGUUACGAGCAACUCUGUUUGUCCCAUUCCUAGGAAAGCUCUGGAAUACUCCAUGCCUUGAAUGCAUAUAGAACACAGUCUCAGAUAUUAGAAACAAUUCAACUAUCAUGUUCAACUGCUACAAGGAUCCACGAUUCCAAGAGUCAGUGAGUUGCUCUCUCUCCCUUUAACACAGCUGUGAAGUCCACUGAAUAUCCAGCCAAGUGUACUUGUGAAUUUCUUCCCCUCUCAUGCCAGUGAGAGGACCUGGUUUCAGCCUAGUGGUAUGAUGUACUUGCUCAUCAGCUUUCAGGUUUAACAAGGGAAAACAAUCUACCCCUCAAAUUGUAGAAGCUUUCUUUCCAGGGGAACUAGACAAUCCUGAUGGCUCUCUCCAGUUACAUAGCAAUUAUAUAAUUGCUAAGCUUCUGCAGAAUCACUGGAACCAUUCUGCAGGCUUCUACCAACUACAGCUGCAGCACAAUGUUCCGAGAUGAUUGCAGGCUUUGAAUGGAUGGCCGGUCUCAAAUCUGAGCACAAAGGGACAUACAAUGGGAUUCCAUCUCAAGCACAAAGAUGCUCCUGCCUAAUGAAGCCCUUUCUCCUCCUCCCAGUCUGUGCAGUAAACUCUUUCCUUUGCCCGCCCUACAUGUGUGUGGAAUGUGGUUUACUCUGUUUAUGCUGACAGGUUCCAAAAGAGGCAGAAAAAUCAGCUGAAGUUUUGCCAUGGACCAUGCACAAGGCUAAUCCACGUAUCCUUUCAAGGCCUAACUUCCCUACCAUGAUAGCAGCUGGAGCUCUAAUUCACAGGUGCCUUCCAAAGCUUUUCAUUAGCAAUAGAAAUGAGAUGGUUUAGAAACUCAUUUCUUAAUCUGCAGGUAAGUAUUGGAACCUUUGUGCAGCAAACAUCUUUCAAGUAUCCCACAUUGUGCCACUGAACAAUUAUUUUUGGAGGAAUAAGUACAAUGUUAAGGCACAUUUGCAGUGUUAACGGGGAGAAUUUUCCCUUAGAGGACAUCGGCUCCCACCCCCCAGCCUCUGGCAUUUCCCAGUUCAAAAGAGAAACACUCAGCUGACAUGAG
This 1731-nucleotide long non-coding RNA is filed under the name Homo sapiens (human). RNAcentral describes it as "HSALNT0354291". The record is from RNAcentral. Lineage: Eukaryota; Metazoa; Chordata; Mammalia; Primates; Hominidae.